GCAUAAAUUACGAGGUCCAUAAUGCUGUUGGCGAUUUCCAAUCUCUGCAACAUCUAAUACAUACGUUAAAAUCCCUCGAAGACGGUUCUUCAAAAUCACAUGCAGCUUUUCUAUUCAGUACAUUGUUAGCUUGAUCAUUACAGCUCACAAAAUCUAGACUGGAUACAUUUAUCUGAACGUCAUAUAAAGUGUGUUCAAAGUCUAUGUUGAACAAUUUAUAACAACACAUAGCUGAGUGGGGGAUAGAGCAGAUUGAUAUCCCGAGAAAACAUUGUCAACCGCGGCGAAGCCGAAUAACAAAAAAAAAAACUCAAAAGAUAAAUAAGUUGGAAUUUAUAUACAUUUGUUUUAGAUAUUCACAUCUAUGCACUGUCCGCACUAUAAUAACGGAACAAAACCAACGAUGGAGAAAAA
Molecule: long non-coding RNA, 414 nt
Filed under: Mytilus galloprovincialis (Mediterranean mussel)
Lineage: Eukaryota; Metazoa; Mollusca; Bivalvia; Mytilida; Mytilidae
Source: RNAcentral